GCUUCUCCUCCAUUCAGCCCUUGAGCUUGACAUUUCUCAGUUAAGGAAGCCACCUCAGAUUUAAGAACUGCAUUCUCCUUGAGUAUUGAGUCAUAGCUAGACAGAAGCGAAUCAUAUGAAGCUUUAAGAACAUCAUAGUCCCUUUCGAGCUGCUUCGUCUUCCAUCGAGCACGACGAUUUUGGAACCACACAGCGACCUGCCUCGGUUGCAGCCCUAGCUUCUUGGCCAGUUGGGACUUCCUCUCUGGCUCCAGUUUGUUCUCUUCCUCAAAAUUCUUCUCCAGCAUUUGAACCUGGUCAUGGGUGAGACGACGCUUCUUCUCAGGGUAGAACUCGUCGUAAUAUUCAUCGUCGUAAAGAUCGUUAGGUGAUCU
Molecule: unclassified non-coding RNA, 374 nt
Filed under: Hevea brasiliensis (rubber tree)
Lineage: Eukaryota; Viridiplantae; Streptophyta; Magnoliopsida; Malpighiales; Euphorbiaceae
Source: RNAcentral